Molecule: unclassified non-coding RNA, 200 nt
Filed under: Mortierella sp.
Lineage: Eukaryota; Fungi; Mortierellomycota; Mortierellomycetes; Mortierellales; Mortierellaceae
Description: partial internal transcribed spacer 2
Source: RNAcentral
UUAAGUUCAGCGGGUAGUCUUACUUGAUUUGAGAUCGAGUUUACAAGUUUUACUAGGUAAAACUUGGUAAUCCUGCAUCAGUCAGCGUAUAGUACAUUCGACCUUUAUAUUAGCUAGAGCAAAAGUAAUAAUCCGUUUGACGGGACUAAAUAAAUAUGCUUUUAGCUCAGAAGAAUGUCCAGCUGCACCUGCAUUUCAAG